RNAcentral lists this ribosomal RNA (460 nucleotides) under uncultured bacterium. Its description in RNAcentral is "partial 16S ribosomal RNA". It matches the Rfam family "Bacterial small subunit ribosomal RNA", at positions 338 to 795 of the family's 1533-position model. The record is from RNAcentral.
CCUACGGGUGGCUGCAGUGAGGAAUAUUGGUCAAUGGGCGGGAGCCUGAACCAGCCAAGCCGCGUGAGGGAAGAAGGUACAGCGUAUCGUAAACCUCUUUUGUCAGGGAACAAAGGCGGGGACUAGUCCCCGGAUGAGGGUACCUGAAGAAAAAGCAUCGGCUAACUCCGUGCCAGCAGCCGCGGUAAUACGGAGGAUGCGAGCGUUAUCCGGAUUUAUUGGGUUUAAAGGGCGUGUAGCCGGGCUGACAAGUCAGAUGUGAAAUCCCGUGGCUCAACCACGGAACUGCAUUUGAAACUGUCGGUCUUGAGUAUCGGAGAGGCAGGCGGAAUUCCUAGUGUAGCGGUGAAAUGCGUAGAUAUUAGGAGGAACACCAGUGGCGAAGGCGGCCUGCUGGACGACAACUGACGGUGAGGCGCGAAAGCGUGGGGAGCAAACAGGAUUAGAUACCCCGGUAGUC